Molecule: ribosomal RNA, 252 nt
Filed under: uncultured bacterium
Lineage: Bacteria
Description: partial 16S ribosomal RNA
Rfam family: Bacterial small subunit ribosomal RNA
Source: RNAcentral
UACGAAGGGGGCUAGCGUUGCUCGGAAUCACUGGGCGUAAAGCGCACGUAGGCGGAUUGCUAAGUCAGGGGUGAAAUCCUGGAGCUCAACUCCAGAACUGCCCUUGAUACUGGCGACCUCGAGUCCGGGAGAGGUGAGUGGAACUGCGAGUGUAGAGGUGAAAUUCGUAGAUAUCGGGAGGAACACCUGUGGCGAAAGCGGCGCACUGGACCAUAACUGACGCUGAGGCGCGAAAGCUAGGGGAGCAAACAG